UGGCAGAGUAUUAGGAAGAUGUGUCGGACCCGCUGCUUUCCACCUCCGCGGCUCGUCUUUGGGUUCCAAGUGUCUGCGGCCGCAGGCUGCCCGUGUCUCCUCGGCGUGGUAGGAUUCCUUGAGCCAGGGACUUGUGAUUCCUGAAACCAAACCGUCACCAGAAAAGGUCCACACUUAGUGAAUGCGUCGUGGGCCGCCUUUGUUGUGAGCUCACCUCUACAGACGUGGCUAGCCGUCCCGCUCCUCAACCUAGCGUUUAAAUUCCCCAGAUUGGACCCUGUCGUAUAUCUGGCCAGUUAUUGAGAGAAGCACCGGGGUCUGGAAUGAGCCUUAGAAGAAGAAUCUGGAACUAGUUCUAUUUGUCAGUCAUUCAUGCAGCAAACAGUUAUUGAGCAUCUAUGCACCAUACGACGUGGCUGGGCACUAUUCAAAUUUAAAUUACGGCCAUUGCCUGCCAAUAGCACACAAACCAGUGGAGGAGAUAGGAUACUGGACAAAAACAUCAUACCAAAGGACGCUAAGGCUGCUAAAAAGAUGUUCAAGCUGCUAUCAGACAGAGGAUAGACUUCUCAGGGUGAGGGAGGUGGUGACAAGAAGGAGUCUCUGGUGGCGACAAGUUAUGCCUCUCUCUCCCUGAGGUUUUGUAGCUGAAGAGUGAGUUAGCGAAUGUGGCCGUGAUUGAAAAGUUUUUCCUUCAUUCGACAGACUUUUUUUGAAUGCCCAGCAUAUGCCAGGUACUGCCCAUUGGGGAUACAGUGAUCUGCCCUCAUGGAGCUUAGAGUCUAGAGGGCGAGUCAUAUGUUAAUCUAAAAUAAUAUAAAAACACAGCCAUGAUAAUUUGCUGCCAAAGAGCUUGUGGACAAGUGUAUAGGAUCAAGAAUUCACAUUGUGAUGAAGAGUGAUAAGGAAAUUGUUGGCACGCUUCUAGGAUUUGAUGACUUUGUCAAUAUGGUACUGGAAGAUGUCACUGAGUUGUGAGUAGUGUUAAAAAUUAAAGAAUUGGGGUGGGGGUAAUCUCUCGCUUUUUAAUUUAAGGCAGUUUUAGUAUUAUUGAGGCAGUAAAAUGAUGCAUGCAAAAACAUUGUCUGUUGGAAUUACCUUAAAAUAGAAAUUUUAUCUACUGACACUAGUAAUUGGAUUGGAGGGUUAUUACCUCAAUGUAAUUAUUGCUAAACUGGUAGGGAAUUAGUGGAGGCAAAACUUUAAGGUAAAAGAUACUGAAAAACAGCCAAGAAUCUUAGGGCUCAGGUCACAUCAGGGAACUGAUAGUAAGAUCAUUUACUGCUUUUAAUUAAAUUAAUUGCUCUGUAAUUUAUGUAUAAUAUAAAAUGUAGAUGAUGAGUCACUUAUAUUAGUUAUAAAGAUCACAACCAAUAUCUUCACUUUCAGAAUUGAAUUGAAUACAGAUUGGGUUUAAUGGGUAGGAAUCAGUAAUAAGUAAUAGGAAAAAGAAUGAGGGAAGUAAGCAUUUCAUAUUUGAUCUCCUUGGCAAGUUUCAGCUUUUAUGAAGAUCAGCCCUAGUAGAUGUGAAUCUUAGGGCGGUCAGUCCACUCUGUUGCCUUUGGGGAAGAGUAUACAUCACCCAGUGGAUAACCUUUGUCUCUGAAAACUGUUGACCUAAUUGCCUGACCUCACAUUCAUUUAUAUACAAUAAUUAAUCUUUCCAGGGAUCAAAAUGUUGGCUUUGAUUAUCACUGUUUAUCCUGACUCUUUUUUAUCUAUUCAUUUAGUGAAAUCACACCAGAAGGAAGAAGGAUUACUAAAUUAGAUCAGAUUUUGCUAAAUGGCAAUAAUAUAACAAUGGUAAGACAGUAAACCUGAUUUUAUUUAGAUGUUAAACCAUUUUUUGGGUCAGGACUUACAGAACUAACUUGCUGGAUGAAAUGUUCACGGCCCAGUGGUGCCUGAGAUGGGGAAGUGGUGCUCUGGUGGUCAGGCUCUAAAGCUGAGCUGUUGAAGGUGACAUUGGGCCUAAAGAUUAGUUUGUGCUUUUUAGUAUUUCAUUUUAUUUUUUUUAUUGUUGAGACACUAAAUGUUAAUUGAUCGUGUUGGAAUUAUAAACAGCAGUGACAUGGAGAAAAUGGGGAUGUGGAGGAGGGGCUGAGGGGCAGAAGUGGCUUUGGUCA
This 2126-nucleotide long non-coding RNA is filed under the name Equus caballus (horse). Its description in RNAcentral is "lncRNA (ENSECAG00000049370.1)". The record is from RNAcentral. Lineage: Eukaryota; Metazoa; Chordata; Mammalia; Perissodactyla; Equidae.